Molecule: long non-coding RNA, 371 nt
Organism: Cyprinodon tularosa
Lineage: Eukaryota; Metazoa; Chordata; Actinopteri; Cyprinodontiformes; Cyprinodontidae
Exons: 2
Source: RefSeq, a predicted model, not a curated record
CAUUUUUGAUGCAAACCACUAUUUGCAACAAUUGCAUUUCGCAAAGUAGCUCAACUCUGAAUCAAAAGCUACAGAUUUUGUGUUAAAUGUACAUUUAGACCUCGAGCAGAUCAUUUUUAUGCUUUAUUCGAUCUAAACCAUUCCAUUUCAUGUUAAGGUCUUUGUCCUCCUUCCUGAAUUAGCUUCAUUCCCAAUCAGAUUUCCAUUUGUUGUUAGGUCUGCAGUUGGUCUAUUUUCUCACACUGCUCUGUGAGAUGCUCAAAGUGGGCUGGUGAUAUUGUUUUAGCAGCUAAUGCUGCUUUAAACCUCCACACGUUUCCCACUGACAUCUCUGCUGGGUUGCUAGGUCUUCAUAAUCUAAAAAAAAAAAA